RNAcentral lists this ribosomal RNA (301 nucleotides) under uncultured bacterium. RNAcentral describes it as "partial 16S ribosomal RNA". It matches the Rfam family "Bacterial small subunit ribosomal RNA", at positions 509 to 807 of the family's 1533-position model. The record is from RNAcentral.
CAGUAGCCGCGGUAAUGCGUAGGGUGCGAGCGUUAAUCGGAAUUACUGGGCGUAAAGCGUGCGCAGGCGGUUGUGUAAGACAGAUGUGAAAUCCCCGGGCUCAACCUGGGAACUGCAUUUGUGACUGCAAGGCUAGAGUGCGGCAGAGGGAGAUGGAAUUCCGCGUGUAGCAGUGAAAUGCGUAGAUAUGCGGAGGAACACCGAUGGCGAAGGCAAUCUCCUGGGCCUGCACUGACGCUCAUGCACGAAAGCGUGGGGAGCAAACAGGAUUAGAUACCCCGGUAGUCCCUGUCUCUUAUAC